UGACGAUGAUGUAACUGAUGAAACAGAACAAGUAGUUGAUGUAGAAGAUUCCCAACAGGAAGAAGAAGAAAACUCAGAUGAAAUUAUAAGUGAAAAAAGUGCUCAUUCAGUUGCAUCAUCCUCUCAGUUCAAAACUAGCAAAAGUGAAAACUCUAUAAAAUCUGAAAGGGAUGCUACUGUGGAGGAAGUUGUUAUAGAAGCAUCUGGAGAUUCUGCUUCCGCAACAGAAUCAAAGAAAUCAGGGACGUCUGUAUCCACCCUUAGCACAGAUGAGACAGUAGAAGAGAAGUUCACAGCAAGAAUAAAUCUUGAACCUGGUGAGAAAAGAUCAUGGAGAGUAUUUUUUGAUCCUAAAAAGUUGGCUGUCUAUCACCAAACUUUGCAACUGGAAAUCGGGGGUUGGAG
Homalodisca vitripennis (glassy-winged sharpshooter) is the source of this 405-nucleotide long non-coding RNA. RefSeq lists it as uncharacterized. NCBI's taxonomy places the organism in Eukaryota, Metazoa, Arthropoda, Insecta, Hemiptera, Cicadellidae. The transcript is spliced from 3 exons. The record is from RefSeq and is a predicted model, not a curated record.